UUUCCAACAGAAUUUAAAUAAAACUUUAAAUGACAUAAAAAUAGCUUCCUGUUUAUGGACAUUAGCCUAAAUUCAGUCUUAGAAGAACACAGCAGUAUGCCAUUAUCUGUGUGGGAAUGAAAGAAUGAGUGUAUUUCACAUUUUAUAUAUACUGUUUAUUGUGGAUGUGUAGAUACUUGGUUGUGGCUCACAGGAGGAUAAUGGGGGCAAGGGAAAUGGGGGCAAAUAUGCAUGACAGAAUGGCUUUGUUAACUUCCCUAUUUUUGCAGGAUGUUUUCACAGUUUUUCAAUUUAGUUUCCAUUGCCAUUCACAUGACUGAGAGUGUGUCUGAGAUGGCUGAGGAAACAGGAUGAUUCAUGCUGUAAAAGACUCUUUAUCUGCUAAUUGGAGAAAUUAUUGAAAUCAUGGCAGGCUUGUCAUAUAGACCUCUGGGCAGAAAACUUGCCAAUUUAGCCAGUUUGGUAAAAUUUAGAUGUGAACAGUGGUCAGUUGAUUUUCUAAGACACAGAAAAAUGAACAAAGUUAAUAAUUGAUAAAGUUGCCUUUUCUCUAGGGAAAAAAGCAUUUGGAGACUGUUUUACUUUCACUGUAUUUAUGUUUUUAAAGAAAAUACUUGUCUCCACUGACAAAUGUUUUGUGCUCAGUAAAUGAUAGUGGAUGGAUGAGUGGCUCUGUGGGUGCAUCCAUGGCUUGUUCCAAUUUUCCUUAUUCUUGAGCCCAUUUUGAAGGUCCUAGUUGGAGAAAAAGAUAUCCUUCCUGUGAGCACCCUUCUUACGGAGCCGGGCUGCUGGUGACAUGUGGAUCAUCAGCUGUUUCCAUGGAGCAGAUUUGUCUUGUGGUCACAUAGUCAGGAUGUGUCUAAACAGAAACUCGUCAAACUGAUUCAGAGCGAGACAGCGUCUACUGAGUGCAUCUUUUUUUUGCUGUGUCCAUACUUAAACAUGUACCAGAUAUGACAACCUCUCCCAGAAAAGAACCAGGAUAUGGCAUUUAGCAUCACAAGUGGAGUUGUAACCUGAAAAGAAAACUGGAUUCUUGGUUGGUGUUGAGCCGAAAGACACAACCUAGCCAAAGAUCAAGAGAAUGAUUUAUUAUUACUUGUAGCAAGAAAGAAUGAGUUUCCUGAGCAUCCAUCUUGGAAAAGAGAAGAAAAGGCAUGGCUGUUGAUAUGGCAAAUAUUAUACACCUGCUUAUCUAAUGCCCAUCCUCCACUAAACUGCCAGAAGACUUACCUAAAUACAGAUGGGGAACCACUGACUACAGGAUACAGUCUAGACUUCUUAAUAUGAAGAGUUCAAAGCUCUGGACCAUCUGUCCCCUGCUGACUUCUGUAAUUUUGUUGCGGUAUUAGAUUUGUUGUUGUUAGCAGCAGAAACUUUUUGUUCUCUGAACAAAACCUGUGUAUACCCAGUGUUUAAAACAGGUAAACAUGGAGCUCUUGGGGUUAAUAUGUACAUUGGUGGGGCCUACAGACCCCAGCUGCUCAGAGACCCUUCCCUAUACCCCAAGCACAAUUCUCUAUCUUGUUUUAUAUUCUCUUGCGGCUUGUUGGUCCUUCUGAAAUCAGCCUAAAAAGAUCAGAGAUGUAUACAAACUUUCCCAAUUUCUCUUUAUUCGUACAGGACUGCAGCUCAAUAAAGAACAAAUUUGGGGGAGUUCCCUGGUGGUUUGGUGGUUAGGACUCAGUGCUUUCACUGCCAUGGCCCUGGGUUCAAUCCCUGGUCAGGGAACUAAGAUUCGGCAAGUCAUGCGGUUCACAGCCAAAAAACCCCCAAUAAAUUUGGAAGCUUUAUGUUAACUUUGUUACUGGGAAGAAAUGAAUUCCAUAUGUGUUAACUUUUUGUAACAUGUCCUGAAUGAUUCCUUGAAGAUUCUAAGAUGUCCAAACUUAGACAUGGAGAUUUAGAAAGCCAGUUUUGGGGACUCAUUCUUGUCACAUUAGGCAUCCUCCUGUUAUUGACCUUCCUCUUUCUUCUGGAGUAACUAUUGUAUUAUGUUUCGAUCUUUAUGGUCCAAAGACUAUGAGAUCCUUUAGGAUUGAAAUAAGAUCUAUUAGAGAACAGCUGUCCAUGAGCUAAGAAAGACAGCUGCAAAACAAAAUGAAUCCAGCUGAGUGGUCCCAGUAUCUGGCUCAGUGCCUGGCACAUAAUAAAUGUUCAAUAAACUUUUCAUCCCCAGAAAGCAUGUUGGGUAUGACAGUUCCCUUGGCAACACGGAGGAAGAGAUACAGUCGUUCCUAUUGCCAGGCGUGUGGCGAUAAUUUGCUGUUGAUAUAGCUUUGGAAGUGGCCCCCAGGACUGUAGCAGGUGACGCUGGUCAGCAUCUCUUCUUGCCAAACCACAGCCAGGCUUCCUCUGCUUCUCCCAGCUGCACGGACUGUAACAGAAAGGGGAAACUUGAGGUGCUCUCUCUGCUUAAUUCACACCAGUGAUAGGCUUGUGCAUCUUGAGUUUGAUGACCACUGAAUGACCACCCAAAAACCAUGCUGGGAUUAUUUUAGAUUUAACACCAGUCAUAAGAAACUCUGAAAAAAAUCAAGAUAUAAAUAACUCAAGUUAAAAUUUGUGGCUUUUGUGGAUCUAUCUAUUUAUAUUUUUCAAAAGCAGUUAAUCUAUAGUCUUAAGAUACUCAAAAUGACAUUCUUUGCUUCUUUUGACCACAAAAGCCACACAUCUGUUUUAUUACUAGGAGGCUGUGUUGGGGAAGAUUGAAAUCUUCCUCCUCAUCUUUAAAAAAGUGAAAACAAACGAAAAGCCAAGAACUCCUCUGUUGGUUGCAUUGUAUGUAUUGGGUAGGCUCUUCAACUGUUAGAAAAGGAAUUGAACUUUAUCCUCACCCUGUCUUGUUAAUUGACAACUGGCAUAUCCAUCAAAGGGUGUCAUCUCAAAUGUUCUGACCUCUGAAUUCUGAGAUUAUAUUUAUGUUUUACAUUUCUUACCCUUCUUGGUCCAUUUUUUUCUAAUAUGGAAUGUGUUCAGUUGACCCAUCUUUUCUGGUCAGUUGGAAGGUACCCAUUCUGUCUUAAAUUCUGCUGAUUGUGCCUCAACCUUUUUUCUUGAGAUUGUUGACACCAGUUCACUGGUCUUUGAGUGCAUUGGGGAUCUUCUUUUGAUUAUUCCUCUACACUGUCCUCGGAGAAGGCAAUGGCAACCCAAUCCAGUACUCUUGCCUGGAAAAUCCCAUGGAUGGAGAAGUCUGGUAGGCUGCAGUCCAUGGGGUCUCGAAGAGUCAGAUACGACUGAGCGAAUUUACUUUCACUUUUCCCUUUCAUGCAUUGGAGAAGGAAAUGGCAGCCCACUCCAGUGUUCUUGCCUGGAGAAUCCUAGGGACGGUGGAGCCUGGUGGGCUGCCGUCUAUGGGGUCGCACAGAGUAGGACACGACUGAAGUGACUUAGCAGCAGCAGCAGCAGCAGCUACACUGUCCUAGGUAACUCAGUGGCACGUAUCUCCUCACCCCUCCUCCAGCAUGACCCAGGCUCCCCCCAUCAUGGUCUUGUAGAGCAGCAUAUAUUGUACAAUACUGCCUGCCUGCUCCCAGGUCAGACUUCAUAAAUCAAGCCAUCUUUUCUCAGCCAAUGCUGAUUGGCUUCAGCAUUGGUCUCACUCAGGGGUCUGGACAUCCAACCCCAUCCACUGGAAUUGGCACUUGAUGUGAAACCAGCAUCCCAUUCCUGGUCUUGCAUUCUCCCCAUUUAUUAAGUGAGAUAACACUCUCUUAAUAUCUAAGAUUUCUCACUUCUGGGCAUGUGAGAUAUUUUGGCCAUUAUCUGUAAAUACCCCUACCUCUGCUCAUGUUGCCUAACUAGCUAUGUCAGCACUUAAGUGGAAAAGGAUGACCAAAUACCUUCAAGAGCUGCCUUGAUUCCCACAGCACAUGACUGUUAGAAGUGUUUGGGGGAGGCUUCUUUAUCAUUUAUCAUUUAGGGUAGAAUUCAUCCAUAUCUCCUGAGGAGCAGAGUUGCACUGGGAACAAGUCAGGACAUUUUCAGAAACUUCAAAAUGAAUGUCCUCUGGUGAGCUCUGCUAGGUCUUAGUAGUAAAACUGAGCCAUUGGUCUAGUCUCUGGUGUCCAUACUGAGAUCAUAGGUACAGCCAAGGGAUGGGCAUCACCUCCUGUGUACAGACAGAACCUUGAGAGAAUUCAUUGAGAGAAAAGGUGUUAAGAUUUCACUGAUAUUUUGGUGUAAAACAUCUGCCAUCUGAUGGAAUUAUAAAAGUAAAACUCUCAAGGUCUUGGAUGAAGUCUCACUCAUCUUUGUGAGAUGUAGUUCUCAGCAUAUGGUAGUAUCUAGUGCUAGAUAAAUAUUUGAUGAAUGAAUAAAUGAACAAUUGGAGUAUCACAUUAUAGUUUGGUUUUCAGGAAAUAAGCAAGAUCAAAUUAUUUGGCUUAUGAAAAGUGACAAUUUUGUUGUCUCAAUUUUUCAGUACAUCUGAAUUGCCAAUUUCUGAGACUUUAAGUAGCAAGAGAAUGAGAGGAAGUGAUGAGAUGGAUGUAUAUUAAUUUGUUAUUGAGGUUAGUGUCAUAAGUAGACUUUUUUUGUCUCAGUAAAAUUUAGAAAGGUAUCUUUUCUUACCUUUGUCUAAAUCUGAAAUAUAUUUCCAACAGCUGCAAAUACUCAGGGCUCUUGUGGCAUUGUACUCUAAACUAAGAAUAAAGUAGAUCUCUUGGGUGGGGAUAUUUUAUCCUUUUUUAUUUCUAAUUUACUCUCCAUUACCUUUGCAUAUUUCCACAUGGCUGUGAGCCACACCCACAAUUGAAUAUCUCCUCUUCAGUCAACAGGUGAAUCCUGAAAAUUUCAGAUUUGCCAACUGCACAUUGAAUAUUCAAACUAAAAUCUUGUUUUAUUUAAAAAAAAUUUUUUUUUUCAACAUGAUGCAAAUCCAUUUUGAAAUUAGCAGAAUUUUCUGCCUUAGCUCAGGGUCAUCAUCUUGGGGCACUUUUCAUGAGAUGGUUGUCACAAUUAUAAGUGAAGCCUUGUUUUGAUUUUAACAGUUCUUAGUGCAGAGGCAAACCCUUGAGACUUCAGCAAUGUACAGCUGCCAGUUGAGGGAGAAAGUGUAUGGUGCUAAGUGUCUAAAAUCCACUUCAAAUGCCUGUUUUUAGAACCUUGUUACAAU
Long non-coding RNA from Dama dama (fallow deer), 5119 nucleotides. RefSeq lists it as uncharacterized. The record is from RefSeq and is a predicted model, not a curated record. The transcript is spliced from 4 exons. Lineage: Eukaryota; Metazoa; Chordata; Mammalia; Artiodactyla; Cervidae.